UCUAAGAUGGCAGAAAUAUGCCCAAGAGUUAAGAUCUUGUUAUGAAGACCAAUCUUCUCUUAGAU
RNAcentral lists this transfer RNA (65 nucleotides) under Lysmata vittata. Its description in RNAcentral is "tRNA-Leu". Lineage: Eukaryota; Metazoa; Arthropoda; Malacostraca; Decapoda; Hippolytidae. The record is from RNAcentral.